AAAAAAACAAAAACAAAACAAAGCAAAGCAAAACAAACACACGGCGGCACAAAAAGCAAACUCGUAAUUUCAAAUUAACAGCGUUAUCACGUCUAAGUACUCGUCUCCGGAUGCAUGAGCAAGCAAAAGCCGCCUGGCCGGUGCCAUAAAAGAAUACUUGAAAAUGGGGCUGUCUUUCGCCAAGUUAUUCAGCCGGCUGUUUGCCAAGAAAGAGAUGCGUAUCCUCAUGGUGGGCCUCGAUGCUGCGGGUAAGACCACCAUUUUGUACAAGCUCAAGCUCGGAGAGAUUGUCACCACUAUCCCCACCAUCGGGUUUAACGCGGAAACUGUGGAAUAUAAAAACAUUAGCUUCACUGUGUGGGAUGUGGGUGGCCAGGAUAAGAUUCGUCCUUUGUGGAGACAUUACUUUCAAAAUACACAAGGACUCAUCUUUGUGGUUGACAGCAAUGAUAGGGACCGUGUAGCUGAAGCUAGAGAUGAGCUGCACAGGAUGUUGAAUGAGGAUGAGUUGAGGGAUGCUGUGCUACUAGUUUUUGCAAACAAGCAAGAUCUUCCAAAUGCUAUGAAUGCUGCUGAGAUAACUGAUAAGCUUGGUCUUCAUUCUCUCCGUAUAUCCAGAGCACGUGUGCCCCAUCCGGUGAGGGGCUUUAUGAAGGACUUGACUGGCUAUCAAACAACAUUGCAAACAAGGCAUAGGGACAACUAUAUUUGGGUUGCAACAAGUUGAGUGUACUUGGCAACUAUGUGCUCAAGCGUUUGGUUUCUGUUUCCUCUGUUAGUGUUCAAUGACCCUGAGAUCUCUUGCAACUGAGUAGAGAAGAGAUGUCCAUUCCUUCCCUGCCCUACCGUCAACAACAUACACCGGCGAUCGUUCUCUUUUAUGCCUUAAGCGAUCACUUGCAAUCGAGUAGAGGAAAGCUGUUGAUCUCUUCUUUGCCAUAACCGCUAGCGACAAACACCAGCGAUCAAGUGAAUAGGGAAGCUGUUCGUCUCUUCUUUGUCUUCUCUCUGCUAUUUUGCAGCAUGCUGGAUCAUCUUGGGAUGAGCUGAAGCACAUAAGACAAGCAGUUGGGUUCUUGUUAAGUGUAUCUUGUAUUUUCUAUAUGAAUAAUUUCAAGAGAGCUAUAGAAUAUAAAAAACAUCAAGGAAAUGAAAGUAAUUAGGCACAUAUUUAUACCAUGUUAGAUUUCGAAAUUGAAGUCAUCAUAGGUCUUGGUGCUACUGCAUUUGCACUAAUGUUAUCUUUUGCCCAUUCCAUUGCCAAGUUCUUUGUGACUUCGUUCAUAACCCCAGAAUGAAACUAUGUAGAUUAGUUACCUUUGCUUUUGAUUUAUGAUACAUAAGCUAUGAGUUUGAAGCAUAACAUGAUGUAGAUAGCGCAUUAAUUUAAGACAUAUAGUGUUUGAAGCUAGCUUGAAGUAUUAUAUCAUACCUAACAUAAAUGAUCAGAUACACUGCUUUGUUUUUUGAAAUAUGGAUAUUUCUCAACUUUCUGUGUCAAUUUUCUCAAGCUUACCUUGAUAUAUAUAUUAUAGUUAAGUUUGGUGAGGGAUAGCAAAAAUAUCUUUAGAUGCUGUGUAGGUAGACAAGAGAGGUAGAGCUUU
Molecule: RNA transcript, 1604 nt
Organism: Prosopis cineraria
Lineage: Eukaryota; Viridiplantae; Streptophyta; Magnoliopsida; Fabales; Fabaceae
Gene name: ADP-ribosylation factor 2-B-like
Exons: 9
Source: RefSeq, a predicted model, not a curated record